GGAUGUCAGGGUGACCUGGCUGUGACAUCUGUCACCCCACUGAUCGCCAGGGUUGAUUCAGCUGAUCUGGCUGGCUAGGCAGGUGUCCCCUCCCCCACUCAAUGCCCCGUGUGUGUCCCUCCCAAGCUGCGAGCUCGGUCGAAGAGGACAACCACCCCCGAGAGAGGGGGACCGUUCCUCGGUCAAGGGCAUAUGAGUAGCUGCGCUCCCCUGCUAGAACCUCCAAACAAACUCUCAAAAAAUAUGAGGCCAUAAUUAACAGGUACAUCUACAGACUUUGGAAGAUAGCAAAGGAUAGGUAAGUAUUUUAGUUACCUGUUCUGU
Molecule: small nuclear RNA, 324 nt
Filed under: Octodon degus (degu)
Lineage: Eukaryota; Metazoa; Chordata; Mammalia; Rodentia; Octodontidae
Description: 7SK RNA (ENSODEG00000024372.1)
Rfam family: 7SK RNA
About the family: 7SK was discovered as an abundant small nuclear RNA in the mid-70s but a possible function has only recently been suggested. Two independent studies have found that 7SK RNA binds the CDK9/cyclin T complex (known as elongation factor P-TEFb). P-TEFb activates transcription by phosphorylating the C-terminal domain of RNA polymerase II.
Source: RNAcentral